GUUGUUGCCAAACGAUGCGGGACGUACUCCCAAUACUGAUUCUGGUUCCACUCUUAACUCCCAGUCCACCCCUAAGUGUUGAGGGAGAGGAGAAAGCAAAUGGAAUUUCCCCAUGGCCUUCCUGAGUUGAGAAACAUGAAAAACAGGAUGAAUUUGGGACUCUGGAAGAAGUUUCAAUUUGUAAGCCACUUGACCCACUUUAGCUAGUACUUCGAAGGGCCCAUAGUACCAAGGGGAGAGUUUCUCAUUGGAACGGUGUGCCAAAGAUUUAAGGCGGUAUGGUCGCAUCUUUAAGUAGACCAAUUCCCCAAUAUCAAAAGCUUUCGUCUUUUGUUGAGCACUAUGCAGAUGCAUUUUUAAUUCCUCUAGUAACUUGUCACAUUCCAGCAGCUGGUGGUCAAGUGAAGACACUGCUAUUGACCCUUUUUCAAAGCGGAUGAUAGGGGGUGGGUCCCGUCCAUACAGGAUACGGAAUGGAGUUAACUGUGCAGACACGUGAUAAGAAGUGUUAUAAGAUAAUUCAGCCCAGGGUAGAAAGCGAAACUCGUCUUUAGGCCUGCCUGAAGUGAAGCAACGAAGAUAAGUCUCAAUACUCCUAUUAAGCACCUCUGUCUAGCCAUCGGUAUGUGGCUGGUAGGCUGAGCUAAGCCUCAAUUUAGUACCUUGCAAUCGAAAGAGUUCACUCCAAAAUUUGCCAACACUUUGUCACGAUAAGAGAUUAUUGACUGCAGCAUGCCAUGCAACCGAACUAUCUCCUUAAUGAAUAUUGUCGCCACAGAUGGAGCUGAAAAAUGAUGUUUAAGGCCCACAAAGUGUCCAUACUUAAGCGAUCCACAACGACCAAAAUUGAGUCAAACCCAUCUGACUUUGGUAACCCUAAAGUCUAUGGAGAUAUCAUCCUAGACUUUCUCUGGUACUAGUAACGGUUGAAACAGUCCUGCCGGAGUGAGGGUCGAGUACUUGUUCUGCUGAAACGUUGCACAGGCCGCCACAUAAUUUCGAAUAUCGUUCUUCAUGCCUUUCCAAUAAAACGUGGCAGCAAUCCUUUUGUAUGUUUUAAGGAAUCCCGCAUGGCCACCGAGUUUGCUGUUGUGUCCUUCUUGCAAUGCCAACAUUACAAAUGGAGAACCCUUGGGUAAGGUGAGCCGGUCACGAUAUAACAGAGCACCCUGAACUAACACAAACCUCGGGUGUGACGUUGGGUUAGCUUGUAGUGCUGUGUGGAUCUGGCCCAAUUUUGAGUCCUCUUUCACUGCCUUUUCUAACUCAGCUUGCUGUAAAACAAAUGGCAUACUAAGUGCAAUCCCUGCCGUAGCCAAUUCAAUUCGGGAUAAGGCGUCGGCCGCCUUAUUUUCCAAUCUCGACUUGUACUCGAUGUCAAAGUCAUACCCCAAUAACUUGGUCAGCCACUUCUGAUAUACCGAACUUACCAUACACUGCUCAAGAAAGAAUUUGAGACCCUUCUGAUCAGUUCAGACUAUGAAAUGCCUCGAAAUUAGAUAGUGCCUCGACUUUUGAAUGGCAAAUACAACUGCCAUCAACUCUCUCUCAUAAAUAGACUUGUUCCGAGACCGAGGAAGAACUUAGCUAAAGUAAGCAAUAGGCCUCCGGUGUUGCAUCAAAACUGUCCCCAAGCCAUGACCAGACGCAUCAGUUUCAAUCACGAAUGGCUUAGAAAAAUCUGAAAGUUCUAAUACAGGAACCGAAGCCAUAGCCUUUUUUAGGCUUACAAAAGCAGCUUCCACCUCGUAACUCCACACAAAAUUAUCUUUUUUCAGUUGUUGCAUAAGUGGCCAUGCUAUCCUUUCAUACCCCUCUACAAACCUCCGAUAGUAUCCUGUUAGACCAAGGAACCCCCGUAGCUCCUUAAGCGAUUUAGGUCGUGGCCAUGCUUUCAUGGCCUCCACUUUAGACAUAUCUGCGGCUACUCCUUUUUCUGAGAUCAUAUGGCCAAGGUACUCCGGCUCUUUUUGGCCAAACAAGCACUUCUUGUUAGCAAUAAGAUGGUUAUCCACUAACUAAUGCAAUACCCAUCUCAAAUGCCCCCGAUGCUCUUCCACCGUUUGGCUAUAGACUAAAAUGUCAUCGAAAAAGACCAAUACAAAUCUCUGUAGUUGUUUCCUGAAGAUGUCGUUCAUUAGUAACUGGAAGGUUGCAGGUGCAUUUUUCAGGCCGAACGACAUGACUAGAAAUUCAUAGUGGCCCUCGUGAGUGCAGAAUGCAGUUUUAGGGAUGUCCCCUGUCUUCACUCAGAUUUGAUGAUACCCAAAGUUCAAGUCAAUUUUUGAAAAAAUGGUCGAACCAUGUAACUCAUCUAAGAGCUCAUCAAAAUUGUAGUUUUAUUUACUGCCUGAUAGUCCACACAAAACUAAGAAUGGCAAUAAAACCCACCCCGCCUCGCCCUGAACCGGUUGGCGGGGUGGGGUGCCCCGUCGUGGGGCGCAACGGGGCCCACCCCGUGAAGGAAAAAAAUUAAAAAUAAUUUUAUUUCUAAACAAUUCACCCGUUAAAAACUAAUUUUGAAUUUGUAUUUUAUUCUCUAAUAAUAACAUAAUUCAAAACUUUGAAAAUGUAAAAAAUUAAAAAUUAAAAAAAAAUUAACAGGACAAAAAAUUGCCCUGUCCCAGCCCCGACCCACCUUGCCUCGUUUAAGAAGGUGCGGGGUGAGGUUUGGGGGAAACGGGGCGGGGUGGGCGCCCCUAACCCGCCCCGUUGCCAU
RNAcentral lists this long non-coding RNA (2719 nucleotides) under Olea europaea subsp. europaea. The record is from RNAcentral. Lineage: Eukaryota; Viridiplantae; Streptophyta; Magnoliopsida; Lamiales; Oleaceae.